This 253-nucleotide ribosomal RNA is filed under the name uncultured bacterium. Its description in RNAcentral is "partial 16S ribosomal RNA". It matches the Rfam family "Bacterial small subunit ribosomal RNA", at positions 524 to 776 of the family's 1533-position model. The record is from RNAcentral.
UACGGAGGGAGCUAGCGUUGAUCGGAAUUACUGGGCGUAAAGCGCACAUAGGCGGCUUUGUAAGUUAGAGGUGAAAGCCCGGGGCUCAACUCCGGAACUGCCUUUAAGACUGCAUCGCUUGAAUCCAGGAGAGGUGAGUGGAAUUCCGAGUGUAGAGGUGAAAUUCGUAGAUAUUCGGAAGAACACCAGUGGCGAAGGCGGCUCACUGGACUGGUAUUGACGCUGAGGUGCGAAAGCGUGGGGAGCAAACAGG